Molecule: long non-coding RNA, 521 nt
Filed under: Olea europaea subsp. europaea
Lineage: Eukaryota; Viridiplantae; Streptophyta; Magnoliopsida; Lamiales; Oleaceae
Source: RNAcentral
CUUACCAAAGACACCUUAGUGUUUGUCUGUUGCAACAAGUUCUGCAGUUUUGUUUUGCAUUGAAAACUAAAAGUAUGGUACCUAUACGUGCAGCAUUCAUAUCAGGCAGGACAAUCAGCCCCAAAAUAAUGAUCUCAGGGAGAACAGAAGUUUAGCUGCAGCAGAGAGAAUGGAAGCUACUAAGUAAUUUCUGACCAGAUUGUGAGUCGCUGUCGUUUCUCCGUAUUUGAAUUUUACAUGGCUAGAUUAGCUAAGUCACUUGCCAUCUAUUUAUGUUUCUUUCUCAAGUCUCUGCUGUAAAUGAUGUAUGCUUUCCUUGGAGCAUGAUCUCAUUGUCAUUAACUCCCUUUUUGCUUUUGGUAAGUUGCACUGGCAGUAUGUAAUUACUGUAGAAAAACGAGUUAAAUUUUCAUCUAUUAUUACACGGUACUAUAUAGUCUAGUACAAUUUUCCAAACAUGCUCUUUAGGUGUCUACAAUAUAUCUUGUUAUGGUGUUUGAAUGGAGCCGAGCCAAGUGGCG